GCCUGAAUAGCUCAGCUGGUAAGAGCGCGACAUUGGUAAUGUCGAGGUCGGGAGUUCAAAUCUCCCUUCAGGCU
This 74-nucleotide transfer RNA is filed under the name Nanobdellota archaeon. RNAcentral's name for it is "tRNA-Thr". It matches the Rfam family "tRNA". Rfam says of the family: Transfer RNA (tRNA) molecules are approximately 80 nucleotides in length. Lineage: Archaea; Nanobdellati; Nanobdellota. The record is from RNAcentral.